CGCCUCUUGCAAAAUUAACAAAUAAGAGGUCCCGCCUGCCCUGUGACUAUAUGUUUAACGGCCGCGGUAUUUUGACCGUGCAAAGGUAGCGCAAUCACUUGUCUUUUAAAUGGAGACCCGUAUGAAUGGCACAACGAGGGCUUAACUGUCUCUUCUUUCAAGUCAAUGAAAUUGAUCUCCCCGUGCAGAAGCGGGGAUACGCACAUAAGACGAGAAGACCCUGUGGAGCUUUAGGCACCAAGGCAGACUAUGUUAAGUACCCCAGACUAAUGAUUAAAACAACUUAUAACCUGCCCUAAUGCCUUUGGUUGGGGCGACCGCGGGGAAAUGAAAAACCCCCAUGUGGAAUGGGAACACCUCCUAAAACUAAGAGCCCCCGCUCUAAUAAACAGAACUUCUGACUAACAAGAUCCGGCAACGCCGAUCAACGGACCGAGUUACCCCAGGGAUAACAGCGCAAUCCCCUUUUAGAGCCCAUAUCGACAAGGGGGUUUACGACCUCGAUGUUGGAUCAGGACAUCCUAAUGGUGCAGCCGCUAUUAAGGGUUCGUUUGUUCAACGAUUAAAGUCCU
This 572-nucleotide ribosomal RNA is filed under the name Holacanthus ciliaris (queen angelfish). RNAcentral's name for it is "partial large subunit ribosomal RNA". It matches the Rfam family "Bacterial large subunit ribosomal RNA", at positions 1816 to 2597 of the family's 2925-position model. Lineage: Eukaryota; Metazoa; Chordata; Actinopteri; Pomacanthidae. RNAcentral also lists the same sequence under 1 other name. The record is from RNAcentral.